AGUGAACGCUGGCGGUAGGCCUAACACAUGCAAGUCGAACGGCAGCACAGUAAGAGCUUGCUCUUACGGGUGGCGAGUGGCGGACGGGUGAGGAAUACAUCGGAAUCUACUUUUUCGUGGGGGAUAACGUAGGGAAACUUACGCUAAUACCGCAUACGACCUACGGGUGAAAGCAGGGGAUCUUCGGACCUUGCGCGUUUGAAUGAGCCGAUGUCGGAUUAGCUAGUUGGCGGGGUAAAGGCCCACCAAGGCGACGAUCCGUAGCUGGUCUGAGAGGAUGAUCAGCAACACUGGAAGUGAGAAACGGACCAGAGUCCUAAGGGAGGCAGCAGUGGGGAAUAUUGGACAAUGGGCGCAAGCAUGAUCCAGCCAUACCGCGUGGGUGAAGAAGGCCUUCGGGUUGUAAAGCCCUUUUGUUGGGAAAGAAAAGCAGCAGGUUAAUACCACGCUGUUCUGACGGUACCCAAAGAAUAAGCACCGGCUAACUUCGUG
Molecule: ribosomal RNA, 492 nt
Filed under: uncultured bacterium
Lineage: Bacteria
Description: partial 16S ribosomal RNA
Rfam family: Bacterial small subunit ribosomal RNA
Source: RNAcentral